AGGAGGCGACCUCAGAAGCCUCUCCGUCCCCAGGUUGCGAGACAAGUGCGUGGAGAAGGGCAUCAUUGCCAAGAGCAUUGCAGCGAAGUUGCGGAAGGCGGAAUUGAUCGCGCGCCUCGAGGAGCACGCCCAGA
Molecule: non-coding RNA, 134 nt
Filed under: Alexandrium monilatum
Lineage: Eukaryota; Dinophyceae; Gonyaulacales; Pyrocystaceae
Source: RNAcentral